This 407-nucleotide ribosomal RNA is filed under the name uncultured soil bacterium. RNAcentral's name for it is "bacterial SSU rRNA". It matches the Rfam family "Bacterial small subunit ribosomal RNA", at positions 26 to 429 of the family's 1533-position model. The record is from RNAcentral.
AGAUUGAACGCUGGCGGCAUGCCUUACACAUGCAAGUCGAACGGCAGCACGGGAGCAAUCCUGGUGGCGAGUGGCGAACGGGUGAGUAAUACAUCGGAACGUGCCCAGUUGUGGGGGAUAGCCCGGCGAAAGCCGGAUUAAUACCGCAUACGACCUACGGGUGAAAGCGGGGGCUCGCAAGACCUCGCGCUAUUGGAGCGGCCGAUGUCGGAUUAGCUUGUUGGUGGGGUAAAAGCCUACCAAGGCUACGAUCCGUAGCUGGUCUGAGAGGACGACCAGCCACACUGGGACUGAGACACGGCCCAGACUCCUACGGGAGGCAGCAGUGGGGAAUUUGGACAAGUGGGCGCAAGCCUGAUCCAGCCAUGCCGCGUGCGGGGAAGAAGGGCCCUUACGGGGUUCGUAAA